UUUCUUUAUUAUAAAUAGACUAACACUCGCAUAAGAACAGAGAGUUUAGCGAGAGAGAUUCUAAUGGCGAGAGAAAGAGAGAGAGCGAUUCUAAUUGGUGCGCGGGGAGCAAAACGGGAGUCGAGUGAGAGAGGGUUCGUGUUCCAAUUCCAACCAGGAGAAGGAUGACUCUCAGAUCGAUUUUGGUUUCAAGGAAGUGGACGAUUCAGAAACCCUAAAAAACGGAAGGAAACAGGUUCGUGUUCGUGUUCCAACCAGGAGGACGAUUGAUUUUAUCUCACUUUGUUACAAACUCUGAUCGAGUAACAUAUAUAUAUG
Non-coding RNA from Camelina sativa (false flax), 318 nucleotides. NCBI's taxonomy places the organism in Eukaryota, Viridiplantae, Streptophyta, Magnoliopsida, Brassicales, Brassicaceae. The record is from RefSeq and is a predicted model, not a curated record.